Pieris rapae (cabbage white) is the source of this 917-nucleotide long non-coding RNA. RefSeq lists it as uncharacterized. The transcript is spliced from 3 exons. NCBI's taxonomy places the organism in Eukaryota, Metazoa, Arthropoda, Insecta, Lepidoptera, Pieridae. The record is from RefSeq and is a predicted model, not a curated record.
UCUCAAUACAAUUAUUUGAGGAGUCCACUCCACAGGCUAUGUCGACACCAGAGUAGUUAAACUCCGUUCUGUCACAGACUACGUGACAAAAUAAAAUUUUAAUUUAAUUAUAUAUAAAAUACUUAUAUAUGUGCCAAUAAGUAAAUUCAAUUUCACGAAUUAAAACUAAACUUUCUCAGUUGUGUGGUAAACGAAAAACAAAAAUCUACUUAUUGACAGUUAUUAAAUAGGGCCCUUAUUAAGGAGAAACAAGGUUUACGUUUCAAUGUAGCGUUUUAAGUUUACUGUAACGAGGAAGUUUUCGUUUUAGUUAAACUCGUUACCUAAGAAAUAGAAAUAGGAUUUCAUGUGGUUUUGUGUUGACAACUCGUUAGGUGUUUCUGUUUUGCAUAGGCUGAAAGUUCUUGCGAUAAGUUGCUUAAAUUUUAUUAAAGGUUUAAAAAGAACAUUGUUGAGCCUAAAUAUAAAGUUUAUCUAUAUUCAGAGCUAUCACUCUACGUUAGACUGUUUACGAUUUACUUCUCGACGGAUCUAUAAUGUACAACCGCUUCAUAAGACAGAAACUAAACAAAAAGCAGACUGGCCAUAUUACUAAAGGUUCAAACAAACUUUUUCAAUUGAAAGUAUUAGAAAGACAUCUUAAACAAACUAGGAGGAAAUUUGCAAGGAUUGAACAACAGACAUAUGCCAACACAGCACAUCUUUUCUCAAAUCAACUACUCUCCACACAAGGGAUGAUUCAAAAAAAUUACAUGUUUUUUAAAAGCAUGACAACCAUGUUAACAUCUAUGCUCACACUCUUUACUACAAUAAAAAGAAAGAUAUAAUUGUUACAAAUUUACUUACAUCUUCAAAGAAAUAAGGGUUUCUCAUUAAAUUUUAAAAUUACUGAGAUUUUUAAUAAUGCAAGUCAUUAG